RNAcentral lists this ribosomal RNA (301 nucleotides) under uncultured bacterium. RNAcentral's name for it is "partial 16S ribosomal RNA". It matches the Rfam family "Bacterial small subunit ribosomal RNA", at positions 509 to 807 of the family's 1533-position model. The record is from RNAcentral.
CAGUAGCCACGGUAAUACGAAGGGGGCUAGCGUUGUUCGGAUUUACUGGGCGUAAAGGGAGCGUAGGCGGAUUGUUAAGUCAGGGGUGAAAUGCCAAGGCUCAACCUUGGAACUGCCUUUGAUACUGGCGAUCUUGAGUCCGGGAGAGGUGAGUGGAACUGCGAGUGUAGAGGUGAAAUUCGUAGAUAUUCGCAAGAACACCAGUGGCGAAGGCGGCUCACUGGCCCGGAACUGACGCUGAGGCUCGACAGCGUGGGGAGCAAACAGGAUUAGAUACCCGCGUAGUCCCUGUCUCUUAUAC